This 423-nucleotide ribosomal RNA is filed under the name Escherichia coli. RNAcentral describes it as "bacterial SSU rRNA". It matches the Rfam family "Bacterial small subunit ribosomal RNA", at positions 127 to 546 of the family's 1533-position model. Lineage: Bacteria; Pseudomonadati; Pseudomonadota; Gammaproteobacteria; Enterobacterales; Enterobacteriaceae. The record is from RNAcentral.
UGCCUGAUGGAGGGGGAUAACUACUGGAACGGUAGCUAAUACCGCAUAACGUCGCAAGACCAAAGAGGGGGACCUUCGGGCCUCUUGCCAUCGGAUGUGCCCAGAUGGGAUUAGCUUGUUGGUGGGGUAACGGCUCACCAAGGCGACGAUCCCUAGCUGGUCUGAGAGGAUGACCAGCCACACUGGAACUGAGACACGGUCCAGACUCCUACGGGAGGCAGCAGUGGGGAAUAUUGCACAAUGGGCGCAAGCCUGAUGCAGCCAUGCCGCGUGUAUGAAGAAGGCCUUCGGGUUGUAAAGUACUUUCAGCGGGGAGGAAGGGAGUAAAGUUAAUACCUUUGCUCAUUGACGUUACCCGCAGAAGAAGCACCGGCUAACUCCGUGCCAGCAGCCGCGGUAAUACGGAGGGUGCAAGCGUUAAUC